UACAGAGGGUGCAAGCGUUAAUCGGAAUUACUGGGCGUAAAGCGCGCGUAGGUGGUUUGUUAAGUUGGAUGUGAAAUCCCCGGGCUCAACCUGGGAACUGCAUCCAAAACUGGCAAGCUAGAGUAUGGUAGAGGGUGGUGGAAUUUCCUGUGUAGCGGUGAAAUGCGUAGAUAUAGGAAGGAACACCAGUGGCGAAGGCGACCACCUGGACUGAUACUGACCACUGAGGUGCGAAAGCGUGGGGAGCAAACAGG
This 254-nucleotide ribosomal RNA is filed under the name uncultured bacterium. RNAcentral's name for it is "partial 16S ribosomal RNA". It matches the Rfam family "Bacterial small subunit ribosomal RNA", at positions 524 to 776 of the family's 1533-position model. The record is from RNAcentral.